Molecule: ribosomal RNA, 253 nt
Filed under: uncultured bacterium
Lineage: Bacteria
Description: partial 16S ribosomal RNA
Rfam family: Bacterial small subunit ribosomal RNA
Source: RNAcentral
UACGUAGGUGGCAAGCGUUGUCCGGAUUUAUUGGGUUUAAAGGGUGCGUAGGCGGCUUUGUAAGUCAGUGGUGAAAUAUGGCAGCUCAACUGUCAAGGUGCCAUUGAUACUGCAGAGCUUGAGUACAGAUGAGGUAGGCGGAAUUGACGGUGUAGCGGUGAAAUGCUUAGAUAUCGUCAAGAACACCUAUAGCGAAGGCAGCUUACUAGGCUGUAACUGACUCUGAGGCACGAAAGUGUGGGGAUCAAACAGG